AUUGAACGCUGGCGGAAUGCUUUACACAUGCAAGUCGAACGGUAGAGGGGGCAACCCCUCGAGAGUGGCGAACGGGUGAGUAAUAUAUCGGAACGUGCCCAGUCGUGGGGGAUAACGUAGCGAAAGUUACGCUAAUACCGCAUACGAUCUAAGGAUGAAAGCGGGGGAUCGCAGGACCUCGCGUGAUUGGAGCGGCCGAGAGCAGAUUAGGUGGUUGGUGGGGUAAAGGCUAACCAAGCGAACGAUCGGUAGCUGGUCGGAGAGGACGACCAGCCACACUGGAACUGAGACACGGUCAAGACCCCUACGGGAGGCAGCAGUGGGGAAUUUUGGACAAUGGACGCAAGUCUGAUCCAGCCAUUCCGCGUGCAGGAUGAAGGCCCUCGGGUUGUAAACUGCUUUUGUACGGAACGAAAAGGUCUCUCUUAAUACGGGGGGCUCAUGACGGUACCGUAAGAAUAAGCACCGGCUAACUACGUGCCAGCAGCCGCCGUAA
RNAcentral lists this ribosomal RNA (496 nucleotides) under uncultured bacterium. RNAcentral describes it as "partial 16S ribosomal RNA". It matches the Rfam family "Bacterial small subunit ribosomal RNA", at positions 30 to 523 of the family's 1533-position model. The record is from RNAcentral.